AUAUAUAUAUAUAUAUAUAUAUAUAUAUAUAUCAAUCGAAGUGUUCCAAGAAUUUGCAACUGAUGAUGAAAAUGGCAAUCUAAACUACUUGUCUGCAGUAUUUGAUUAAAUCAGUUCUUGCAGUGCCAAUUACCAAUUGCUAAUGCCAAUUAGUUUUAUAUUUCUGAUCCAGUACAAUCAACUCUGAGAUUGAUUUGAGACAGCCAUAAACAUGUAAUGGUUUCUAACCUGCUUUUAUUAUUACAAUGUAACCAUACCUUAUAGAUAUGACACAUGAUUUAGCCAAGUCCCAUGUAUUUCAUGUAUCCUUUUAUGCUUAAAACAAUGGACGUUGAACUUUCAUUUUAUUCUGAUUAUUAUUAUAAUGUAUUUAAGGGAGCAGUCCAGGUGAAAUGUGAAACAGAUUUUAUCACAAAAGCAAGAAAUUUGGUGCUGUCAUUGGGGCAUUAAACUAGGGUUGGGUGAUAUGGGAAAAAUGUUGAGAUGUCAGUUGAUGUUGAUAAUUAUCAUAGUGAAUUUUAAAACAUUCGUUAAUUUCUUUCUAGUUUAAAGGCUGUUUUUUUGGUUGACUGGUUUAUGUUCAUUAUAUGCAAUAAGUAGAAAAUGAUUUAAUGAGAAAACAAGAUAAAAAUGACACAAAACAACAAAGAAGAAAGUUAAGUAAAUGAUAUAACAAGAAGGAAACAACAUGAAAAAUACAGUAAGAUAAAACAAGAUGAAAGCAAUGCAAUGAAAUGAAAUGAAAUGAUGUGAAGACCACGCAUGACAAAAACAAGUGAAUUUAGAUUUAUGUGUCCAGGUGAAGAACUAAUUUUAAUUGUAAGAUUUAGGCAUUCUUCACAUUGUGUAAAGCAAAAGCUCCAUCAAUCAGAUGAAAUCAAUGUAUACUGCCCAUCGCUUGUUCUGUUUUAACAUGUUUGGUUCAAGUUAUGUCAAACACAUCAUUAUUCUCUUAUGGCAUAAAGUAAAAUGGCCCCUGAGCCAAAGCUCCAUGUUCCUUGCUUUUGUGAAGAAUUGAGCACAUCACCUGAACUAGAGCAUAUUCAUGGGAAACACCUGGUCUGAUGAAAAAAACAGCAUUUCUCGUAGCAGUAAAUGUAGCUUUUAAAGCAGUCCUGCUGCAGCAAACUGAUUGUGAAGAACAACACUGAGCUGGAUUUCUGUAGAUUAGACUAAGGAUGAGUAGAUCCAUGACAUACAAAUAACAGUAUUAUUGAUUUCCAAUUGGAUUGACCUGUCCAUUUGAAUGGUAUGUAUUGAUUUGUUUGCAUUUGGAUUGAGGUGUUUGUGUUCCUGUAUUUGUGUUGAGCCCACAUGUCAUCGGUUUCUGUUCUUUGUAGCAUGAACUCUCUGGCGGUCUCCAGUGUAUGUACUGUCCACAUGCAGAUAUAUCAUUUUGGUUUGUGUUUUGUGCUUGCUGACUCUAAGUGUGACUUAAUCUUUGCUUUGCUUUCUUUGCACAGUGUCUUUGUGGUUGUUUCUCAUAGCCCAGAGCAAAUAAAAUCGUACCAAUUUUCAGCACUCA
Sphaeramia orbicularis (orbiculate cardinalfish) is the source of this 1525-nucleotide long non-coding RNA. RefSeq lists it as uncharacterized. NCBI's taxonomy places the organism in Eukaryota, Metazoa, Chordata, Actinopteri, Kurtiformes, Apogonidae. The record is from RefSeq and is a predicted model, not a curated record. The transcript is spliced from 2 exons.